Molecule: transfer RNA, 73 nt
Filed under: Stegodyphus mimosarum
Lineage: Eukaryota; Metazoa; Arthropoda; Arachnida; Araneae; Eresidae
Rfam family: tRNA
About the family: Transfer RNA (tRNA) molecules are approximately 80 nucleotides in length.
Source: Rfam by way of RNAcentral
GCCUUCGUGGUGUAGUGGUCAAAACGCUGGACGCGUAUUCUAAAUGUCCAUGGUUCAAAUCCUGGUGAAUGCG